UGGGGAAUUUUGCGCAAUGGACGAAAGUCUGACGCAGCAACGCCGCGUGGGUGACGAAGGUCUUCGGAUCGUAAAACCCUGUCGUCAGGGACGAAGGUAGGGAGUUUAAUACGCUCUUUGCUUGACGGUACCUGGAGAGGAAGCCCCGGCUAACUCUGUGCCAGCAGCCGCGGUAAUACAGAGGGGGCAAGCGUUAUUCGGAAUUAUUGGGCGUAAAGGGCGCGUAGGCGGUUCUGUAAGUAGGAUGUGCAAUCCCCGAGCUCAACUUGGGAACUGCAUCCUAGACUGCAAGACUAGAGUGCUGGAGAGGGUGGUAGAAUUCCACGUGUAGCGGUGAAAUGCGUAGAGAUGUGGAGGAAUACCAGUGGCGAAGGCGGCCACCUGGACAGUAACUGACGCU
RNAcentral lists this ribosomal RNA (400 nucleotides) under uncultured bacterium. RNAcentral's name for it is "bacterial SSU rRNA". It matches the Rfam family "Bacterial small subunit ribosomal RNA", at positions 355 to 747 of the family's 1533-position model. The record is from RNAcentral.